CAGCAGGCGCGAAAACUUUGCAAUACACGAAAGUGUGACAGGGCUAUCCCGAGUGCCAUCCGCUGAGGAAGGCUUUUACCCAGUCUAGAACGCUGGGGGAAUAAGGAGAGGGCAAGUCUGGUGUCAGCCGCCGCGGUAAUACCAGCUCUCCGAGUGGUGUGGAUGUUUAUUGGGCCUAAAGCAUCCGUAGCUGGCUAAGUUAGUCCCUUGUUAAAUCCACCGAAUUAAUCGUUGGAUUGCGGGGGAUACUGCUUGGCUAGGGGACGAGAGAGGCAGACGGUAUUUCCGGGGUAGGGGUGAAAUCCUAUAAUCCCGGGAAGACCACCAGUGGCGAAGGCUGUCUGCUAGAACGCGCCCGACGGUGAGGGAUGAAAGCUGGGGGAGCGAACCGGAUUAGAUACCCGGGUAGUCCCAGCUGUAAACGAUGCAGGCUAGGUGUUUGGACGGCCACGUGCCGUUCUAGUGCCGCAGGGAAGCUGUUAAGCCUGCCGCCUGGGGAGUACGAUCGCAAGAUUGAAACUUAAAGGAAUUGGCGGGGGAGCAC
Molecule: ribosomal RNA, 544 nt
Filed under: uncultured archaeon
Lineage: Archaea
Description: bacterial SSU rRNA
Rfam family: Archaeal small subunit ribosomal RNA
Source: RNAcentral